GAUGAACGCUGGCGGUGUGCCUAAUACAUGCAAGUCGAGCGAACAGACGAGGAGCUUACUCCUCUGACGUUAGCGGCGGACGGGUGAGUAACACGUGGAUAACCUACCUAUAAGACUGGGAUAACUUCGGGAAACCGGAGCUAAUACCGGAUAACAUGUUGAACCGCAUGGUUCAACAGUGAAAGACGGUCUUGCUGUCACUUAUAGAUGGAUCCGCGUCGCAUUAGCUAGUUGGUAAGGUAACGGCUUACCAAGGCAUCGAUGCGUAGCCGACCUGAGAGGGUGAUCGGCCACACUGGAACUGAGACACGGUCCAGACUCCUACGGGAGGCAGCAGUAGGGAAUCUUCCGCAAUGGGCGAAAGCCUGACGGAGCAACGCCGCGUGAGUGAAGAAGGUCUUCGGAUCGUAAAACUCUGUUAUUAGGGAAGAACAAAUGUGUAGGUAACUAUGCACGUCUUGACGGUACCUAAUCAGAAAGCCACGGCUAACUACGUG
This 497-nucleotide ribosomal RNA is filed under the name uncultured bacterium. RNAcentral's name for it is "partial 16S ribosomal RNA". It matches the Rfam family "Bacterial small subunit ribosomal RNA", at positions 28 to 507 of the family's 1533-position model. The record is from RNAcentral.